This 780-nucleotide ribosomal RNA is filed under the name uncultured bacterium. Its description in RNAcentral is "bacterial SSU rRNA". It matches the Rfam family "Bacterial small subunit ribosomal RNA", at positions 1 to 820 of the family's 1533-position model. The record is from RNAcentral.
AUUAGGGUUAGCUCCUGGCUCAGAAUCAACGCUGGCGGCGCGCUUAACACAUGCAAGUCGAACGAGCAAGCCCGCAAGGGGGAGUAAAGUGGCGUACGGGUGAGUAACACGUGGGUAAUCUAACCUUUUGGUGGGGAAUAACCCUGGGAAACCGGGGCUAAUACCGCAUAAGCUCGAAAGAGGAAAGGAGCAAUUCGCCGAAAAAGGAGCCCGCGGGUGAUUGCUAGUUGGUGAGGUAAAGGCUCACGGAAGGCAAUGAUCGGUAGCCGGCCUGAGAGGGCACACGGCCACACUGGCACUGAAACACGGGCCAGACUCCUACGGGAGGCAACAGUGGGGAAUCUUGCCCAAUGGGGGAAACCCUGAUGCAGCGACGCCGCGUGCGCGCGAAGCCCUACGGGGUGUAAAGCUCUUUCGGCAGGGACAAUAAUGACGGUACCUGAAGAAGAAGCUGCGGCUAACUACGUGCCAGCAGCCGCGGUAAUACGUAGGCAGCGAGCGAUGUUCGGAGUUACUGGGCGUAAAGAGUGCGUAGGCGGUCUUCUAAGUUUGAUGUGAAAUGUCCGGGCUUAACUAGGAGGAUCCGCCGAAGACUGGAAGGCUUGAGUAUGGGAGAGAAAGCGGAAUUCCUGGUGUAGCGGUGAAAUGCGUAAAUAUCAGGAGGAACACCUGCGGUGUAGACGGCUUACUGGACCACUAACUGACGCUGAUGCACGAAAGCGUGGGUAGCAAACAGGAUUAGAUACGCUGGUAGGCACGCCCUAAACGAUGCAUACGUGG